Molecule: transfer RNA, 87 nt
Filed under: Azoarcus sp.
Lineage: Bacteria; Pseudomonadati; Pseudomonadota; Betaproteobacteria; Rhodocyclales; Zoogloeaceae
Description: tRNA-Leu
Rfam family: tRNA
About the family: Transfer RNA (tRNA) molecules are approximately 80 nucleotides in length. Their secondary structure includes four short double-helical elements and three loops (D, anti-codon, and T loops).
Source: RNAcentral
GCCGGGGUGGCGGAAUCGGUAGACGCAGCGGACUCAAAAUCCGCCGCUGGUAACAGCGUGAGGGUUCGAGUCCCUCUCCCGGCACCA